Molecule: ribosomal RNA, 253 nt
Filed under: uncultured bacterium
Lineage: Bacteria
Description: partial 16S ribosomal RNA
Rfam family: Bacterial small subunit ribosomal RNA
Source: RNAcentral
UACAGAGGGUGCAAGCGUUAAUCGGAAUUACUGGGCGUAAAGCGUGCGUAGACGGUUAUGUAAGUCAGAUGUGAAAGCCCCGGGCUCAACCUGGGAAUUGCAUUUGAGACUGCAUAGCUAGGGUGCGGAAGAGGGAAGCGGAAUUUCCGGUGUAGCGGUGAAAUGCGUAGAUAUCUGGAGGAACACCGGUGGCGAAGGCGGCAUCCUGGACCGAGAUUGACGCUGAGGCGCGAAAGCCAGGGGAGCAAACGGG